UGGGGAUGACGUCAAAUCAUCAUGCCCCUUAUGACCUGGGCUACACACGUGCUACAAUGGGCGGUACAAAGGGUCGCGAACCCGCCGAGGGGGAGGCCAAUCCCAAAAAGACCGCUCUCAGUUCGGAUUGCAGGCUGCAACUCGCCUGCAUGAAGCCGGAAUCGCUAGUAAUCGCGGAUCAGCAUGCCGCGGUGAAUACGUUCCCGGGCCUU
Molecule: ribosomal RNA, 212 nt
Filed under: uncultured Anoxybacillus sp.
Lineage: Bacteria; Bacillati; Bacillota; Bacilli; Caryophanales; Anoxybacillaceae
Description: partial 16S ribosomal RNA
Rfam family: Bacterial small subunit ribosomal RNA
Source: RNAcentral